GUGCAGAGCUGGAAGUGGCGCCUGCGCCAUGGGCCGCGGAUGGUGACUGGAGGAAAAAGAGGGGCUCUGCGGCGCUGGAAGGCCCUCCAAAGGAGAAUGUAGCUGCAGUGUGCUGGAAAGCCAGCACCGUGGCCUGCUAAUCAAUCAGGAUUCAAAGAAAAGACAUAAACUCAGGAGCUAUGGUGCCUCAUUCACCUUCCACUUACUAUGAGGAAUGAGAAAUGGAGAAAGACCGUCUGCAGACAGAGAAUGAAGCAUGGAAAGGCAAAGACCAGAAUGGUGAAACUACUCCCUGGAUCCUGGCAAUUUCCCAGGCCCUUUCUGAGGCCCUCUGAUGUUGGGAGUCUGAGAGUUACCUU
Cynocephalus volans (Philippine flying lemur) is the source of this 359-nucleotide long non-coding RNA. RefSeq lists it as uncharacterized. NCBI's taxonomy places the organism in Eukaryota, Metazoa, Chordata, Mammalia, Dermoptera, Cynocephalidae. The record is from RefSeq and is a predicted model, not a curated record. The transcript has 3 exons.